RNAcentral lists this ribosomal RNA (438 nucleotides) under uncultured bacterium. Its description in RNAcentral is "bacterial SSU rRNA". It matches the Rfam family "Bacterial small subunit ribosomal RNA", at positions 954 to 1392 of the family's 1533-position model. The record is from RNAcentral.
AUGGGAACGCGAAGAACCUUACCUAGACUUGACAUCUUCUGCAUUAAUCGUAAUGGAUGAAAUCCCUUCGGGGACAGAAUGACAGGUGGUGCAUGGUUGUCGUCAGCUCGUGUCGUGAGAUGUUGGGUUAAGUCCCGCAACGAGCGCAACCCCUAUUAUUAGUUGCUAACAUUAAGUUGAGCACUCUAGUGAGACUGCCCGGGGUUAACCGGGAGGAAGGUGGGGAUGACGUCAAAUCAUCAUGCCCCUUAUGUCUAGGGCUACACACGUGCUACAAUGGUGGGAACAAAGAGAUGCAAGACCGCGAGGUGGAGCUAAACUCAAAACCCCAUCCCAGUUCGGAUUGUAGGCUGAAACUCGCCUACAUGAAGCUGGAGUUGCUAGUAAUCGCGAAUCAGAAUGUCGCGGUGAAUACGUUCCCGGGUCUUGUACACACCG